GCCUCCUCACCGCCGCCGCAGCUUGCUCAAUCCCCUCUUUGGCGUUCGUCGAUCUUCUUUCGAUUUCUUUCUCGCUGCGUAGUUUUUCUCGAUUUGAUUUAUGUUUUUUCGGUUGUGCGGUUUUGCAAGGUCAGCUUCUUGUCUGGAUCUCGUUACCCACGGUCCCAGCCAAUCGGUAAAUCGUCCUGCCAUCUUGCUAGAUCGAACACCAAGCCGGCUUUCAACUCACCUGGAUCUGAUUACUCAAUGAUUUUCCGGGCCCUUUCCGUCGGCACAGUGUGUAAAUUUCUGCCAGUUCUAUGUUUUCUUGGGGAAAUCAAUGGCGAUGAUGGUAGAACUAAGGCUUGUUUCUCAAAACAUUCGCAGACGCCGCCUAAGAGCUUUCGCCCUGCCAGGCUUGAGAGCUAAUGCUGCUAAUUCCUUCCUUGGAUGUCUGAGCCAUGCUUAUUUCCCAGUUUUUAUCUUAUUUUUGCUGCCUCUUUACUUUUCUCUCCUUGACGUUUUUCAUUCUCUUAGUAGAUUGUAGGUAGGUUGUAGGGUGCUAAAGCUGAUUGAAAGAUGGGUGCAUUCAAGAUUUAAUUUAGUUGUGCCCAUAGGUAGUGAAAACAGUCAGAAACAAUUCAGAUCUUCAGAAUGUA
This is a long non-coding RNA of Triticum dicoccoides, 638 nucleotides long. RefSeq lists it as uncharacterized. The transcript is spliced from 2 exons. Lineage: Eukaryota; Viridiplantae; Streptophyta; Magnoliopsida; Poales; Poaceae. The record is from RefSeq and is a predicted model, not a curated record.